CAUGUAGGCGGUCCUUUAAGUCUGGAGUGAAAAUGCGGGGCUCAACCCCGUAUGGCUUUGGAUACUGGGGGACUUGAGUGCAGGAGAGGAAAGGGGAAUUCCCAGUGUAGCGGUGAAAUGCGUAGAUAUUGGGAGGAACACCAGUGGCGAAGGCGCCUUUCUGGACUGUGUCUGACGCUGAGAUGCGAAAGCCAGGGUAGCGAACG
This 206-nucleotide ribosomal RNA is filed under the name uncultured Veillonellaceae bacterium. RNAcentral's name for it is "partial 16S ribosomal RNA". It matches the Rfam family "Bacterial small subunit ribosomal RNA", at positions 568 to 774 of the family's 1533-position model. Lineage: Bacteria; Bacillati; Bacillota; Negativicutes; Veillonellales; Veillonellaceae. The record is from RNAcentral.